UAGGGAAUCUUCCACAAUGGACGCAAGUCUGAUGGAGCAACGCCGCGUGAGUGAAGAAGGUUUUCGGACCGUAAAGCUCUGUUGUUAGUGAAGAAGGAUAGAGGUAGUAACUGGCCUUUAUUUGACGGUAAUCAACCAGAAAGUCACGGCUAACUACGUGCCAGCAGCCGCGGUAAUACGUAGGUGGCAAGCGUUGUCCGGAUUUAUUGGGCGUAAAGCGAGCGCAGGCGGAAGAAUAAGUCUGAUGUGAAAGCCCUCGGCUUAACCGAGGAAUUGCAUCGGAAACUGUUUUCUUGAGUGCAGAAGAGGAGAGUAGAACUCCAUGUGUAGCGGUGGAAUGCGUAGAUAUAUGGAAGAAUACCAGUGGCGAAGGCGGCUCUCUGGUCUGCAACUGACGCUGAGGCUCGAAAGCAUGGGUAGCGAACAGGAUUAGAUACCCUGGUAGUCCAUGCCGUAAACGAUGAGUGCUAAGUGUUGGGAGGCUUCCGCCUCUCAGUGCUGCAGCUAACGCAUUAAGCACUCCGCCUGGGGGAGUACGACCGCAAGGUUGAAAC
This 554-nucleotide ribosomal RNA is filed under the name uncultured bacterium. RNAcentral describes it as "partial 16S ribosomal RNA". It matches the Rfam family "Bacterial small subunit ribosomal RNA", at positions 355 to 900 of the family's 1533-position model. The record is from RNAcentral.